RNAcentral lists this ribosomal RNA (774 nucleotides) under uncultured Neocallimastigales. RNAcentral describes it as "partial large subunit ribosomal RNA". It matches the Rfam family "Eukaryotic large subunit ribosomal RNA", at positions 22 to 621 of the family's 3401-position model. Lineage: Eukaryota; Fungi; Neocallimastigomycota; Neocallimastigomycetes; Neocallimastigales. The record is from RNAcentral.
AUAUCAGUCAUGCAUAGCAUAUCAAUAAGCGGAGGAAAAGAAACUAACAAGGAUUCCCUUAGUAACGGCGAGUGAAGCGGGAAGAGCUCAAAUUUGAAAUCUUCAAGGUUUUACCUUGACGAAUUGUAGUUUAAAGAAGUGUUUUCUGUUGAAGUUUUGGUAAAAGUUCUUUGGAAUAGGACAUCAUAGAGGGUGAGAAUCCCGUAUUUGACCAUUACUUUCAGCUUUGUGAUACACUUUCAAAGAGUCGGAUUGUUUGGGAAUGCAGUCCAAAAUGGGUGGUAAAUUUCAUCUAAAGCUAAAUAUUGGCGAGAGACCGAUAGCGAACAAGUACCGUGAGGGAAAGAUGAAAGAACUUUGAAAAGAGAGUUAAACAGUACGUGAAAUUGUCAAAAGGGAAGCGUUUGACACCAGUGUUGUUUUCUCGAAAAUCAAUUAAAAAGAGUUGGAUUUUGUGUUGUAUUGACUUUAUCAGGCUUUCUUCACUCUUUUCCAGCUUUUUUUAAUGCACUUUUCGUUUAACAAGUCAACAUCAGUUUCUUUUGUUGUAAAAAGGUCAUUGGAAGGUGGCUCUCUCUUCGGAGAAAGUGUUUAUAGCCUUUGACUCAUGCAAUCGGAGAGACUGAGGUCUGCAGCGUAGAUCCUUCGGGGUUAGAUACAUUUGUGCUAAGUUAUAGCUUUUCAUAGACAACUUGUUGACUAUGUUUAGUCUUGUAGCUUACUCGCUUAUGCUAUUUUACCUACGCUUAGGAUGUUGAACUCUAUCACACACAG